AGUUGAUGCACAUGGCGGUUUUCCUCCCAGUUCCGCUGCAACAGCUGUUCCCCUCUGGAGGUUCAUACCUUCAAACUCACGGGCCGCGGUUUUUCCGGCGGCCCUUUUUU
This 110-nucleotide small RNA is filed under the name Sinorhizobium fredii NGR234. RNAcentral's name for it is "Alphaproteobacterial ar15". It matches the Rfam family "Alphaproteobacterial ar15". Lineage: Bacteria; Pseudomonadati; Pseudomonadota; Alphaproteobacteria; Hyphomicrobiales; Rhizobiaceae. The record is from Rfam by way of RNAcentral.